GGAGGAUAUAUCAUUUAGUCCUUAAACCUAGAUCAUGACUAAAUGAUAUGCUAUUAUUAGGACAAUAGCUAUAUCAAGUAUAGGUCAUUGUAUGCUAUAUGUAUUGGUUAUCCUCUUAACCAAAGAGUAUGGAGACACUAGUAUGGCAUGCAAGAGAGACAUAAGAAUACAUCUCACUGAAUGUGAUCAACUGUGAAGUACUUUGCUAUCAAGAAUAGCUUAUGAAGGAUAUGAAAAUAAGUAUCCCUCUGACC
This 254-nucleotide long non-coding RNA is filed under the name Elaeis guineensis (African oil palm). RNAcentral describes it as "long non-coding RNA (EGUI_LNC080511)". Lineage: Eukaryota; Viridiplantae; Streptophyta; Magnoliopsida; Arecales; Arecaceae. The record is from RNAcentral.